AUUGAACGCUGGCGGCAUGCUUUACACAUGCAAGUCGAGCGGCAGCGCGGGGGCAACCCUGGCGGCGAGCGGCGAACGGGUGAGUAAUGCAUCGGAACGUAUCCUCGAGUGGGGGAUAACCCAGCGAAAGUUGGGCUAAUACCGCAUGAGCUCUGAGGAGGAAAGCGGGGGACCUGCGAGGGCCUCGCGCUGGAGGAGCGGCCGAUGUCCGAUUAGCUAGUUGGUGGGGUAAAGGCUUACCAAGGCGACGAUCGGUAGCUGGUCUGAGAGGAUGAUCAGCCACACUGAGACUGAGACACGGCCCAGACUCCUACGGGAGGCAGCAGUGGGGAAUUUUGGACAAUGGGGGCAACCCUGAUCCAGCCAUGCCGCGUGAGUGAAGAAGGCCUUCGGGUUGUAAAGCUCUUUCGGACGGAACGAAAUGGGCGGGACUAAUACUCCUGUCUGAUGACGGUACCGUAAGAAGAAGCACCGGCUAACUACGUG
RNAcentral lists this ribosomal RNA (486 nucleotides) under uncultured bacterium. RNAcentral describes it as "partial 16S ribosomal RNA". It matches the Rfam family "Bacterial small subunit ribosomal RNA", at positions 29 to 507 of the family's 1533-position model. The record is from RNAcentral.